Molecule: transfer RNA, 54 nt
Filed under: Metriorrhynchini sp. UPOL 000501
Lineage: Eukaryota; Metazoa; Arthropoda; Insecta; Coleoptera; Lycidae
Description: partial tRNA-Ser
Source: RNAcentral
UUGAAAUACUUUUAAAAAAGCUUCUAACUUUAAACUAAGCAUUAAAUUGUUUGU